GAACGCUAGCGGCAGGCUUAACACAUGCAAGUCGAGGGGUAACAGGGAUUGCUUGCAAUCCGCUGACGACCGGCGCACGGGCGCGUAACGCGUAUGCAACCUACCUUCUACAGGGGGAUAGUCAAUAGAAAUGUUGAAUAAUACCCCAUACGAUCUUUGAAUAGCAUUAUUUAAAGAAGAAAGUUCCGGCGGUAGAAGAUGGGCAUGCGUCCUAUUAGUUAGUUGGAGAGGUAACGGCUCCCCAAGACAUCGAUAGGUAGGGGUCCUGAGAGGGAGACCCCCCACACUGGUACUGAGACACGGACCAGACUCCUACGGGAGGCAGCAGUGAGGAAUAUUGGACAAUGGAGGCAACUCUGAUCCAGCCAUGCCGCGUGCAGGAAGACUGCCCUAUGGGUUGUAAACUGCUUUUAUACAGGAAGAAAUGUACCUACGUGUAGGUAUUUGACGGUACUGUACGAAUAAGGAUCGGCUAACUCCGUGCCAGCAGCCGCGGUAAUACGGAGGAUCCAAGCGUUAUCCGGAAUCAUUGGGUUUAAAGGGUCCGUAGGCGGUCUUUUAAGUCAGAGGUGAAAUCCUACAGCUCAACUGUAGAAUUGCCUUUGAUACUGAAGGACUUGAGUUAUUGUGAAGUAGUUAGAAUGUGUGGUGUAGCGGUGAAAUGCAUAGAGAUCACACAGAAUACCGAUUGCGAAGGCAGAUUACUAACAAUAUACUGACGCUGAGGGACGAAAGCGUGGGU
Molecule: ribosomal RNA, 742 nt
Filed under: uncultured Bacteroidota bacterium
Lineage: Bacteria; Pseudomonadati; Bacteroidota
Description: bacterial SSU rRNA
Rfam family: Bacterial small subunit ribosomal RNA
Source: RNAcentral